This 495-nucleotide ribosomal RNA is filed under the name uncultured bacterium. Its description in RNAcentral is "partial 16S ribosomal RNA". It matches the Rfam family "Bacterial small subunit ribosomal RNA", at positions 29 to 506 of the family's 1533-position model. The record is from RNAcentral.
AUGCACGCUGGCGGCGUGCCUCAUACAUGCAAGUCGAGCGAACAGACGAGGAGCUUGCUCCUUUGACGUUAGCGGCGGACGGGUGAGUAACACGUGGGUAACCUACCUAUAAGACUGGGAUAACUUCGGGAAACCGGAGCUAAUACCGGAUAAUAUUUCGAACCGCAUGGUUCGAUAGUGAAAGAUGGCUUUGCUAUCACUUAUAGAUGGACCUGCGCCGUAUUAGCUAGUUGGUAAGGUAACGGCUUACCAAGGCAACGAUACGUAGCCGACCUGAGAGGGUGAUCGGCCACACUGGAACUGAGACACGGUCCAGACUCCUACGGGAGGCAGCAGUAGGGAAUCUUCCGCAAUGGGCGAAAGCCUGACGGAGCAACGCCGAGUGAGUGAUGAAGGUCUUCGGAUCGUAAAACUCUGUUAUUAGGGAAGAACAAACGUGUAAGUAACUGUGCACGUCUUGACGGUACCUAAUCAGAAAGCCACGGCUAACUACGU